GUCACCAAACAGAAAUAGGACAUCUUCAACACUCUGCAAUGGUAUUCUGAAUAACAACAGAUGCCUUUGCGGAGUGUUGAAGAUGUUCUAUUUCUGUUCGAUGAUGG
RNAcentral lists this microRNA precursor (107 nucleotides) under Nicotiana tabacum (common tobacco). Its description in RNAcentral is "miR6156 stem-loop (nta-MIR6156)". The record is from miRBase by way of RNAcentral. Lineage: Eukaryota; Viridiplantae; Streptophyta; Magnoliopsida; Solanales; Solanaceae.